This 441-nucleotide ribosomal RNA is filed under the name Lithobius obscurus. Its description in RNAcentral is "partial 16S ribosomal RNA". Lineage: Eukaryota; Metazoa; Arthropoda; Chilopoda; Lithobiomorpha; Lithobiidae. The record is from RNAcentral.
UAUAAGUUAUUUAAUGGCCGCAGUAUUUUGACUGUGCGAAGGUAGCAUAAUCAAUUGUCUUUUAAUUGGAGUCUGGUAUGAAUGAAUUAAUGUAAUGGUUGCUGUUUUUAUUUUAUAUGUGAAUUUUUAUGCUAAGUGAAGAUACUUAGAUUGUAAUAAAAGACGAGAAGACCCUAUUAAGUUUUAUAGUUUUUAUUUAUUUUUAUGUUAUUAUUAUAUUUUAGCUGUUUGGUUGGGGCAAUUUUGGAAUAAUUAAAAUUUCUAAUUUUGAAUGAUGUUUUUAAUAGAUUAGUUUUAAGAUCCAUAGGUUUGAUUUUUAGAAUAAAUUACUAUAGGGAUAACAGCGUAAUUUUUCUAUAGAGUUCUUAUCGAUGGAGAAGUUUGCGACCUCGAUGUUGAAUCAAGAUUCCUGAUUGGUGCAGUAAUUUUUUAAGGUAGUCU